This 448-nucleotide ribosomal RNA is filed under the name uncultured bacterium. RNAcentral's name for it is "bacterial SSU rRNA". It matches the Rfam family "Bacterial small subunit ribosomal RNA", at positions 330 to 792 of the family's 1533-position model. The record is from RNAcentral.
UCCAGACUCCUACGGGAGGCAGCAGUGGGGAAUAUUGCACAAUGGGCGAAAGCCUGAUGCAGCAACGCCGCGUGAAGGAAGAAGGGUUUCGGCUCGUAAACUUCUAUCAACAGGGACGAAAGAAAUGACGGUACCUGAAUAAGAAGCCCCGGCUAACUACGUGCCAGCAGCCGCGGUAAUACGUAGGGGGCAAGCGUUAUCCGGAUUCACUGGGUGUAAAGGGAGCGUAGACGGCCAUGCAAGCCAGGGGUGAAGGCCCGGGGCCCAACCCCGGGACUGCCCUUGGAACUGUGCGGCUAGAGUGCGGGAGGGGCAGGCGGAAUUCCUGGUGUAGCGGUGAAAUGCGUAGAUAUUAGGAGGAACACCAGUGGCGAAGGCGGCCUGCUGGACUGCAACUGACGUUGAGGCUCGAAGGCGUGGGGAGCAAACAGGAUUAGAUACCCCCGUA